CCUUAACAUUGACUCAAGAAUAUCCUGAGCUGGAAGGGACCCACAAGGAGCAUCAGCCCAACUCCUGGUUCUGCACAGGACACCCUAA
This is a long non-coding RNA of Neopelma chrysocephalum (saffron-crested tyrant-manakin), 88 nucleotides long. RefSeq lists it as uncharacterized. The transcript is spliced from 3 exons. The record is from RefSeq and is a predicted model, not a curated record. NCBI's taxonomy places the organism in Eukaryota, Metazoa, Chordata, Aves, Passeriformes, Pipridae.